Molecule: long non-coding RNA, 252 nt
Organism: Sardina pilchardus (European sardine)
Lineage: Eukaryota; Metazoa; Chordata; Actinopteri; Clupeiformes; Clupeidae
Exons: 4
Source: RefSeq, a predicted model, not a curated record
CGAAGAGAAGGAGCCUUGCCUUAGCACUAUGGUCCACCAAAAGGAAGUGAUUGUGGCAGCAUUAUUUUUCUCUCUGUUCGGGACUUCAGUUCAGAAAAAUGACAGAGCAAUGGAAUCUUCUUCAGUGAACUGUGAUCAGCUUGGGAAUUGUUGGAGUGUGAUCUACAGCCCUCGCUUCAUCUGUGCCUUAACAGGCUCAUCUGUGGACCUGGGCAGCACAUACACUUACCCCUCCUCUGAAACACCCCACAG